GACGAACGCUGGCGGCGUGCUUAACACAUGCAAGUCGAACGGAAAGGCCUGCUUUCCCUUGUGGAUUGCGGGUACUCGAGUGGCUAACGGGUGAGUAACACGUGAGUGAUCUGCCCCCAACUUGGGUAUAAGCCUGGGAAACUGGGUCUAAUUCCCGAUAGGACUGCAGGGUGGUGCCUGUGGUGGAAAACGAUUUUCUAGUGGUUGGGGAUGAGCUCGCGGCCUAUCAGCUUGUUGGUGGGGUAAUGGCCUACCAAGGCGGCGACGGGUAGCCGGCCUGAGAGGGUGGACGGCCACAUUGGGACUGGGAUACGGCCCAGACGCCUACGAGAGGCAGCGGUGGGGAAUAUUGCACAGUGGGCGGGAGCCUGAUGCAGCGACGCCGCGUGGGGGAUGACGGGCUUCGGGUUGUAAACUCCUUUCGACCGCGAGGAAGCCACCUGGUUGGAAGGGUGGUGACGGUAGUGGUAGAAGAAGCACCGGCUAACUACGUG
This 494-nucleotide ribosomal RNA is filed under the name uncultured bacterium. RNAcentral describes it as "partial 16S ribosomal RNA". It matches the Rfam family "Bacterial small subunit ribosomal RNA", at positions 28 to 507 of the family's 1533-position model. The record is from RNAcentral.